UAGACCUUCAAGUUGGGGGGUUGGGCAGCUAGCUAGCCAGGUAGGCCGCGGCCAAUUUCAUGCUGGUGAAAGCCAACUCAUUGUCCCUGAGCUACCCAACUCGCUCACCAAAACCCGGUCUGCUCACUCUCUCAUCUCUCAAAUCCAUCCCGCCAAAGCACCGAGCAGGUUCCCGCUAAAUAGAUGCCUGAUGCCGCCCGAAUCUGACGUCAUCUCACCGGUGGAGGCAGUCUCCAAGUCGCUUCUCGACAAGCCCCUAAACCAGCUAACUGAUGACGACAUUUCUCAGCUCACUCGCGAAGAUUGCCGCCGGUACCUCAAAGAGAAAGGUAUGAGAAGACCGUCGUGGAACAAAUCGCAGGCGAUUCAACAAGUGAUUUCGCUGAAAGCGCUUACCGAAAUGCCGCCGGAUUCUGACUCCGGCAGUUACAAGAAGCUGUACGCUCCUCGGUCUCCGAGCACCAGUAAUAAUCACGAAUCUCGUGUCUCCAAAGAAACGGAUAUAGAUGCAGAAAUUUCGGAAUCAGCGGAAGUGAUGCCAUUUAGGGGAAAAAAUCUGGAAAAGACUGAUCUAUUUGGUGACCUACCAGCUCACCCAGCGGCUGCUGUCAAGGACUCUGCUCCAUCUAGAAGCACAGAGUCAACAUGUAUUCCAGCUAGGCAAAUGGCAAUCUUCUAUUGUGGCAAGGUGAAUGUCUAUGAUGAUGUGCCAGCUGAUAAGGCACAAGCACUCAUGCAUUUUAUUGGAAGCACACUCCCUGUUCCUCCUGACUCUCCAUAUGAUGGUGCUGUAACUGCACAACAUUCAGUGUGCCAUUUACAAGCUGCAAAUGUUAAAGUAUGCCAAGAGUAUGCAGUGCCGCUCUCACCAGCAGUGCAAACAGUGGAAGGCCCAACAAGCAGAAAAGCAUCAGUUCAGAGAUAUCUUGAGAAGCGAAAAGACAGGUGAAGGUUCAAGAGCAAGAGUAAGAUAGAAACCGCUUCAACGUCUAGCUUAGACAUCUACUUGAACCAUCAAAUGGGAAGUCAUAACUCCAAUGAGCACUCAAAUGUUAAAGACUGAAUGUUGAAAGGGACCUAUUACACUUUAUGUAUAGUGUCUUCGUGUUAUGAAAACUGCGGGUGCAAUUUCAGGUUGUAGCAUGUAGGUGGUUGACUAAAAUUGAGGAGCUACAUUGAUGUAAGAAAUUUUCAAGUACAUACUCGUCUUGAAUUUGAUAUCUGUGCUAAGAAUGUAACUAUUCUUCAACUACAAGAAAAGUUCCAAGCGAGCUGUUUACCGGCCAUAAGCUCCUUCCCUGUAAAAUGCCAUUCUUUUUGGGGGUCAGAACUAGCACUUCCCUCUUUCAAUGGCAGUUGCCAGUCGGUCUCUGGUUACCAGUAAUGUAAUGAAGCUAUGCUUAUUUUUCUGCAUGUCAUGGUAAUGAUCUAGAAUUUUUUUUAUUUU
Ipomoea nil (Japanese morning glory) is the source of this 1447-nucleotide RNA transcript. It is a transcript of the gene named protein TIFY 4B-like, with no coding region annotated. The transcript is spliced from 8 exons. The record is from RefSeq and is a predicted model, not a curated record. Lineage: Eukaryota; Viridiplantae; Streptophyta; Magnoliopsida; Solanales; Convolvulaceae.